RNAcentral lists this ribosomal RNA (444 nucleotides) under uncultured Anaerolineaceae bacterium. RNAcentral's name for it is "bacterial SSU rRNA". It matches the Rfam family "Bacterial small subunit ribosomal RNA", at positions 923 to 1382 of the family's 1533-position model. The record is from RNAcentral. Lineage: Bacteria; Bacillati; Chloroflexota; Anaerolineae; Anaerolineales; Anaerolineaceae.
GCACAAGCAGCGGAGCGUGUGGUUUAAUUCGAUGUUACACGAAGAACCUUACCAGGGUUUGACAUGCAAGUGGUAGGAAGCCGAAAGGUGACCGACCCUUCGGGAGCUUGCACAGGUGCUGCAUGGCUGUCGUCAGCUCGUGUCGUGAGAUGUUCGGUUAAGUCCGCUAACGAGCGCAACCCUCGCUGUGUGUUAUAUGUGUCAUACGAGACUGCCGGUAAAAGCCGGAGGAAGGUGAGGAUGAUGUCAAGUCAGCAUGACCUUUAUAUCCAGGGCUACACACACGCUACAAUGGUCUGUACAAUGGGUAGCCAAGCCGCGAGGCGGAGCCAAUCCUGAAAGCAGGCCUCAGUUCAGAUUGCAGUCUGCAACUCGACUGCAUGAAGCCGGAGUUGCUAGUAACCGCAGGUCAGCAAUACUGCGGUGAAUACGUUCCCGGGUCUU